RNAcentral lists this transfer RNA (76 nucleotides) under Bacteriophage sp. RNAcentral's name for it is "tRNA-Leu". The record is from RNAcentral.
GGCCCAAUGGUGGAAUGGCAGACACAACAAGCCCAAACCUUGUCUUAUACUCUCGGUUCGAAUCCGAGUUGGGCUA